This 326-nucleotide long non-coding RNA is filed under the name Elaeis guineensis (African oil palm). RNAcentral's name for it is "long non-coding RNA (EGUI_LNC024494)". The record is from RNAcentral. Lineage: Eukaryota; Viridiplantae; Streptophyta; Magnoliopsida; Arecales; Arecaceae.
UGAAUAUUGUGGUAAAAAUCAUUAUGGACCUUGUCUCAAAAAGCUGAAAGUAUGUUUUUCAUGCGGCAGAAUAGGAUAUAUGGUGCGAGAUUAUCCUAUUAAGAAAAAGGAUAAUACAAAGACUUCCAAGCUAGCAGAUCAGAAACAACAAGAAAAUGCACGGAUGUGCGUUUUGACCCAACGAGGUGUCAGUACAAGCUAUCAAGUAGUUUCAGGUACCAUUCUAGUUACCCCGUAGAUGCUUAUAUGCUAUUUGAUUAUGAAUUUUCUCAUUCCUUUACAUCUUUCAAAAAAAAAUCAAAAUUAAAUUAUCUCAUUUUAAAUUA